GGAGCAGCCCAGAGCCUGAAUCAGUGUGUGUGUUAGUGGAAGCGUCUGGAAAGGCGUGCGAUACAGGGUGACAGCCCCGUACACAAAAAUGCACAUACUGUGAGCUCGAUGAGUAGGGCGGGACACGUGGUAUCCUGUCUGAAUAUGGGGGGACCAUCCUCCAAGGCUAAAUACUCCUGACUGACCGAUAGUGAACCAGUACCGUGAGGGAAAGGCGAAAAGAACCCCGGCGAGGGGAGUGAAAAAGAACCUGAAACCGUGUACGUACAAGCAGUGGGAGCACGCUUAGGCGUGUGACUGCGUACCUUUUGUAUAAUGGGUCAGCGACUUAUAUUCUGUAGCAAGGUUAACCGAAUAGGGGAGCCGAAGGGAAACCGAGUCUUAACUGGGCGUUAAGUUGCAGGGUAUAGACCCGAAACCCGGUGAUCUAGCCAUGGGCAGGUUGAAGGUUGGGUAACACUAACUGGAGGACCGAACCGACUAAUGUUGAAAAAUUAGCGGAUGACUUGUGGCUGGGGGUGAAAGGCCAAUCAAACCGGGAGAUAGCUGGUUCUCCCCGAAAGCUAUUUAGGUAGCGCCUCGUGAAUUCAUCUCCGGGGGUAGAGCACUGUUUCGGCAAGGGGGUCAUCCCGACUUACCAACCCGAUGCAAACUGCGAAUACCGGAGAAUGUUAUCACGGGAGACACACGGCGGGUGCUAACGUCCGUCGUGAAGAGGGAAACAACCCAGACCGCCAGCUAAGGUCCCAAAGUCAUGGUUAAGUGGGAAACGAUGUGGGAAGGCCCAGACAGCCAGGAUGUUGGCUUAGAAGCAGCCAUCAUUUAAAGAAAGCGUAAUAGCUCACUGGUCGAGUCGGCCUGCGCGGAAGAUGUAACGGGGCUAAACCAUGCACCGAAGCUGCGGCAGCGACGCUUAUGCGUUGUUGGGUAGGGGAGCGUUCUGUAAGCCUG
RNAcentral lists this ribosomal RNA (951 nucleotides) under Shigella flexneri. RNAcentral describes it as "partial 23S ribosomal RNA". It matches the Rfam family "Bacterial large subunit ribosomal RNA", at positions 294 to 1251 of the family's 2925-position model. The record is from RNAcentral. Lineage: Bacteria; Pseudomonadati; Pseudomonadota; Gammaproteobacteria; Enterobacterales; Enterobacteriaceae.